GACGAACGCUGGCGGCGUGCUUAACACAUGCAAGUCGAACGGAAAGGCGCGGCUCUUGUGGGGUGCUCGAGUGGCGAACGGGGGAGUAACACGUGAGUAACCUGCACCUGACUGUGGGAUAAAUCCAGGGAACUCGGGCUAAUACCGGAUAGAAGCUCCUGAUGCAUGGUGGUGGAUGGAAAGAUACGGCGGUUGGGGCUGGUCUAGCGGCUUAUGAGCUGGUUGGUGGGGUAGUGGCUUACCAAGGCUUUGACGGGUAGCCGGCCUGAGAGGGUGACCGGCCACAUUGGGCCUGCGAUACGGCCCAGACUGCUACGGGACGCAACGGGCGGGAGUCUUACGCAAUAGGCGGACGCGUGUUGUGGCAGCGCCGCGUGCGGGAUGACGUCCUUCGAGGUGAAAACCGAUUUGGCCUUUGCCGAGGAGUGCGUGACGGUACUGGGUAAGAAAGCACCGGCUAACUACGUG
Molecule: ribosomal RNA, 468 nt
Filed under: uncultured bacterium
Lineage: Bacteria
Description: partial 16S ribosomal RNA
Rfam family: Bacterial small subunit ribosomal RNA
Source: RNAcentral